GGUCAGCCUGGGCCACAUGAGACCUUGUGUCAAAACCAUAAUUUUUAAAAUUGCUUUAAAACAAGUGGGUGUCAAGGUGCUUUGUGCAAAGGCGCCUGCUCACAGCUUCUCGUCCUUUCUGUCUUCCAGAACUUGACAGCCCAGAAGAGUUGGGGACAAAGCGCAUCUGCAGGAUCAUCACGAAGGAUUUCCCCCAGUAUUUUGCCGUGGUUUCCCGGAUUAAGCAGGAAAGCAACCAGAUCGGUCCUGAGGGUGGGAUUCUGAGCAGCACCACCGUGCCCCUGGUCCAGGCAUCUUUCCCAGAGGGUGCCUUAACCAAAAGGAUCCGAGUGGGUCUCCAGGCUCAGCCUGUUCCAGAGGAGAUUGUGAAAAAGAUUCUUGGAAACAAAGCAACAUUUAGCCCAAUUGUCACUGUGGAACCAAGGAGAAGGAAAUUCCAUAAGCCAAUCACCAUGACCAUUCCGGUGCCCCCACCCUCAGGAGAAGGCGUGUCCAAUGGGUACAAGGGGGACAACACACCCAACCUUCGUCUCCUCUGUAGCAUAACAGGUUUGGUUCCUUCCCUGUAGUCACUCCUAUCUGUCUGCUGUGACAAAGGUUUAAGAGUAGAAAACAAGGGAUAGGUCAUGUAUUUAUUCUCUUCAGGCCUUUCAAUGGGAAGAAUUUCCACCAGGAACUGGGCUCCUGGAAUAUUUAAACUUCAGGGUUGUUUCCUGAUAUUACGGUAUUAGUAAUCAAGCACUCUCCGUAUUGGUGAGGUGUUAUUGACUCAAACUGGGGUGCUUAGGGAAUUGCUUGGCAACCAUGACAGAGGUAAUCACCCAGCAGCAUCCUUUGGACAAGGGAAGUGAAUGAACUCUGGGAGAAGUUCUUUCGGGGCCUGAUGGGAGGUAUUGAGGAUGCCAUUGGUGUCACCCAGCUGUGCUCAUCAGUGCCACCCAGACCUUAGAACACAUUCUAAAUACUUAGAAUCCAGACCUCAAGACCAAAAGAUGGCUAGCAAGUAAAAGCACUUACAGACAAGCCUGACAACCUGUGUUCAAUACCCAGAACCCACAUGGUAGAAGAACUGAAUCUAACAAGUUCUGAACCUACACACACCACAUACACGCACACACAAAAAGAACUUUAGAAUCCAGACAUCAGUUGAAUCUUGAUUUCCCGAUUGGUCACUGAGAUCAAGUCAAAGAUAAACAAAGUCAAAUUCAUCUUAUUCUUUGAUAUCCAGUUCUUCCUUCUACAAAGGGAAAAGUAAUAUUUCAGUCAAGGACAAAAUGAGCAGCUUCCUAAACUUUCUUGAUAAUUCCCACCCCACUUUAAAAAAAUAAAUAAAUAAACAAAACCUAUUUGAGAGGCUAGGGAGAUGGCUUGGUUAGUGAAAUGCCUGCUGUGUAAGAAUGAUCCACAGGACCCACUUGUCUGUAACUGCAGCACAGGGGAUGGAGGAGAAAGGCAGGCAGAUCUAUCUCUGAGCUCACUGGCUGACCAGCCUAGUUGAAUCAGUGAGCUCCAAAUUCAGUGAAAGAUCCUAUUUCAAAAAAUAAGGUGGACAAUGAAGGAAGACACCUGAUGUCAUCCUCUGGCCCGUAGACACGUGUGGGUAAGGCAUUCAUGCACCCACACCCACUAGCACAUGCAUGCCCGAAACUACUAAGUCUUUGCAGUGACAGAUUACCCCAAGUUUAAACUACCCCUUGUGAUCCAGAGAGAAAAUAAUAUAUAUGUAUUUGUGAAUUCCCAUGAACUCCCUGUAAGCAGGUAAGACCAUGAAGGAGAGCAGAGCCGGUCACCUUUAUAGCACGGCAGAACCCAAAGCACUAUAGCUGGCCUCUCUCUCAGUGGCUGCCAGAACAGCAAGGCAAUGGGACAGUCUGCAGGGAGAACUUAAUGAUAAAGUCACUCUGUCCAUGCUGUUCCCAGGGGGCACCUCGCCGGCUCAAUGGGAAGACAUCACAGGAACCACCCCUCUGACCUUCAUAAAGGAGUGUGUGUCUUUCACAACCAAUGUUUCAGCCAGGUAUGGACGUGAAAGUUCCAGAAGCAUCACAGAUUUCAUUUUCUCACGUUUUGGGGAAGUGAGAAAAAAAUGCUGCUGUCAAUACAAUAUAAUUACUUUUAAAUUUAUGGGGGAGGAGAGAAGAUCCUUAAUGUUAUUUCUUUAGAAAAGUUAUUGAGGAAUAAGCUGCUUUUU
This 2191-nucleotide long non-coding RNA is filed under the name Cricetulus griseus (Chinese hamster). Its description in RNAcentral is "lncRNA (ENSCGRG00000024268.1)". Lineage: Eukaryota; Metazoa; Chordata; Mammalia; Rodentia; Cricetidae. The record is from RNAcentral.